This 336-nucleotide unclassified non-coding RNA is filed under the name soil metagenome. Its description in RNAcentral is "partial contains 5.8S ribosomal RNA, internal transcribed spacer 2, and large subunit ribosomal RNA". The stretch from base 1 to 120 matches the Rfam family "5.8S ribosomal RNA", at positions 35 to 154 of the family's 154-position model. The record is from RNAcentral.
GAUGAAGAACGUAGUGAAAUGCGAUAAGUAAUGUGAAUUGCAGAAUUCAGUGAAUCAUCGAAUCUUUGAACGCACAUUGCGCCCGCCAGAAUUCUGGCGGGCAUGCCUGUUCGAGCGUCAUUUCAACCAUCAAGCCCCCGGCUUGUGUUGGGGACCUGCGGCUGCCGCAGGCCCUGAAAAGCAGUGGCGGGCUCGCUGUCACACCGAGCGUAGUAGCAUACAUCUCGCUCUGGGCGUGCUGCGGGUUCCGGCCGUUAAACCACCUUCAUAACCCAAGGUUGACCUCGGAUCAGGUAGGAAGACCCGCUGAACUUAAGCAUAUCAAUAAGCGGAGGA